Long non-coding RNA from Harpia harpyja (harpy eagle), 1290 nucleotides. RefSeq lists it as uncharacterized. Lineage: Eukaryota; Metazoa; Chordata; Aves; Accipitriformes; Accipitridae. The record is from RefSeq and is a predicted model, not a curated record. The transcript is spliced from 4 exons.
UCAAAAUAUAUUUGUCUUUUUUUUGGUUCAUCUAUUUUAGGUCUAUUCAGGCUAUGAUGAUAUCAAGCCUUGACUAUCAUUCUGAACUACCAGAGGUUGGGCUUCUGUCAUAAGCUACAGCAGCUUUAGAGCUAUUUUGUAUCAGUACUUUGGCAGAAAGGAGCUGCAAGACAGAUUUUACUGUCCUGUCCUACUGUCUUAUACAGUAAGUCUGAUUCUGUUCAUACAGAAUGCCAUUGCCACUCAAGGAGAAGACACUAGCUGGAGUAAAGGAAGGACCAAGUGCCAUUAUACUUUGGAAACAAGCAUGCUUUGGAUAAACAUUCCAAGACAGCAUAAAGACUGUUGCUAGGUCAUCACAAGAGCACAUGGAGAGCAUCUGACUGUUGGAGACAGAGCCUGGCUGAUGUGUGUGAUGAGAAAAAAACCCCAGCUGAAACUGAUAUACUGGCUUUAGCAUCAGGACAAGGUUGACACAGCAGAUCGAGGAGGGUAUUAGUUCUUUGGACACCUGCUGCAGCUGCUCUUCCUGGCAUCCUGAGACACUGUAGAGGAAGGAGGACUGUUGGGAAUUACCACUAAUCCAGUAUCUAACAGUUGCUUCUUCUAGCUAGAUACUAAUCCAGCAUCCAGCACAUUCUUCUUCUCCAAAGCCAGGUUCAGGGGUUCUCACUGUACAUGCUCAGAUUUUUUAGAAGUUUGUGUCUAUAUUCCUGCAAGCAGAGUCUGUGGAGACCUGCACUGGCCCUCCCUGUCUUCUAACACAUCACAGGAAUGACAUCCUCCAUUCCUGUCUUCAGUAAGGAAAUAGGGUAGAGAUUGGGAAGGCUGCCUUUUAACUUUAAAUGUAUCUCUCACCAGCCCCUAAAAUAAUGCUCAGCUUAGGGUUUGCUGCGGGUAUUAAGAGAUCAAUUGCAUUGCCAGGAUAAAAAUGAACCAUCUUUAUGCUUCAGUACAAUGCAAACAUUUUCUUCUACUUGGCAUUAGUGCACAAGAUGUACUGUGUUUCUAGUAGUAACUGAGAACUUGUAGAAGCAAAUGUCAGGUGCGUACAGGAAGCAGUGGAAAUGUGAUCAUCUUUGAUUCUAUCCAGUUGCUAAAAGAGGAGGUAUUUCUUUAAAUGAACCACGUGCAAUUUUGUACUGGCUUGCAUCAAACUGCAGUAUGUCACAUCUGAUAUUUACAGUAGUUUAUGUACUGAAAAAGGAUGAGGUGAAUUCAGGGUCAGGAGGAUACUGUAAAUGCUAUUCCUGCUGCUCUCUGUAAUCCUGCAUGCAUGUGUGAGGAAUA